CCAUCAGUGGUUUAGUGGUAAAAUCCAUCGUUGCCAUCGAUGGGCCCCGCGUCGGUUCGCGGCCGACGCA
This 70-nucleotide transfer RNA is filed under the name Immersiella caudata. Its description in RNAcentral is "Cercophora caudata tRNA-Gly". The record is from RNAcentral. Lineage: Eukaryota; Fungi; Ascomycota; Sordariomycetes; Sordariales; Lasiosphaeriaceae.